ACUAUAUAAAGUCAUCAAAACAUUUUAAAUUUGUACAUUGAAAGGUAAAAAACAAAUGGCUGAAACUCUCAAGUUUGUUUAUAUUAUGAUACUUUUUAUUUCUCUUUUCAUCGUUGUAGUCGUUGGUAUAAUAAAGUGCGAAACUGACGAAGAUUGCUAUCGACACUUUCCAAUUGCUGAUCCAAAAACAGUGGUGUGCUUUAGAAAUGAAUGUAAAAAGUUAAGACAGUAAGAUCCUUAGAACGGGAUCAGAUAGUAGUAUCGAGGUGUUUGUUCGUGAGAAUAAAGUGGAGAAUUAUUCUCUCACAUAUGAUGGGGUAUUCAUUAAAGUGUGUUGCAUUAUUUUUAUUUUUAAAUUGAGUUGUAAGGGUUUGAUAUUCUUACAUCAAGUUCGGGUUUAAUAAUAUCGUCUUCACUUAUUUUGUUGGAUUUUGACAAAAUAUUAUUUAUGUUAUUUUGUUAUGAAAUUAA
Long non-coding RNA from Trifolium pratense (red clover), 471 nucleotides. RefSeq lists it as uncharacterized. The transcript is spliced from 3 exons. The record is from RefSeq and is a predicted model, not a curated record. NCBI's taxonomy places the organism in Eukaryota, Viridiplantae, Streptophyta, Magnoliopsida, Fabales, Fabaceae.